AUAUGUUCAACGGCCGCGGUAUCCUGACCGUGCAAAGGUAGCAUAAUCAUUUGCCUUUUAAUUGGAGGCUAGUAUGAAUGGGUAGACGUAGAUUCAGCUGUUUCUAUAUUAUAAAUAAAACUUAAACUUUAGGUGAAGAUGCCUAAAUAUCAUAGAAAGACAAAAAGACCCUAUAGAGUUUUAGUUAAACAUACUUUACAAUCGUAUAAUAACUUUGGUUGGGGCGACCUAGGAUUUUUAUAAACAUCCUUUUAAUUUACGAUCCUUAAAUCUUUACAUUAGACCCUUAAACGGAUUAUUAAAAAUAACUACCUUAGGGAUAACAGGCUUAUCUUCCUAGAGAGCUCUUAUUGAUAGGAUGGUUUG
This 366-nucleotide ribosomal RNA is filed under the name Polynoidae sp. 211 RG-2014. Its description in RNAcentral is "partial 16S ribosomal RNA". It matches the Rfam family "Bacterial large subunit ribosomal RNA", at positions 1918 to 2520 of the family's 2925-position model. Lineage: Eukaryota; Metazoa; Annelida; Polychaeta; Phyllodocida; Polynoidae. The record is from RNAcentral.